AGCGGUUCCUGGCAUUGUGCUUAUAACGGUGAGAAAUUCAAAAUAACUAAGGCAUCCAGCACCGGGAGAGGGUGGCGGACGUGCACCGGGGCAACAGCAUGGGACAGCAUGCAGACCCACCCCUGCUGCUGGCACUGAACUUCUCGUCGGGCUGGGGGGACGUGCUUCUGGUGAGAUGCUAGGGAGAAGACUGGGCAUCCUACCCGCGUCUACGGUGCUCACUAAGGACGUGGACUCUGCAGUCAGAACCCUUCUCUGCCUUUUUCUCCCCAUGUGGGAGCCUGGUCUGUCACCCCUUGAAGCUUCAAUUUGUGCAUCUAGAAAACCAACUGACACCGCCUCCCUCCAAAGGCGAGAACAGAGGUCCCCCAGUCUCAGCCUGCUGUCCUGGCUCACCUUGGGUCCCCAUGGGGUCCGAGGGGACGGGAGUGAUUCGGUGAUGCCCACCUGCUCCCCACUCUGACCCGGGUACAGGAGCCAGCGCCCCCCUCCCACGGAAGUCCCAGGAAGGAAGUGAGUAAUGCGCUGGGCACCGAGCUCGGACCGAGGCCAGAUGCAGUGCUUCUGUUGUUUUCUCAUCUCAAGUGUGGGGGGCGGAGGCCAACCUCUCGAUGGGUGCCCGAUUGCCGCUCACCUGGGACGACUAACUGUGCCGAGGCACCGCCAGGCUUCUGGCCAUCCCGGGUGGGCGGCAGGAGCGGCCAGGGGCAGACCCCUCCCUCCUGCACCAGUCGUUCCUCCCUGAAAACCUCUCUUCUACCCAGGCCAGCAGGCUGAGCCUGAAGACAAAAACCCCGUCCCAUCAGCACAUCCCUACCCUCCCCCCCCCCAGUAAAGGGAACUAUGCCCUGGCCAAACUAGAAAGUUGUCAUAGGCCUGCGUUGAACCCUGCCUCAGCUGUGUUAACUGUGUGGCCUUGGGCAAACCGCUUAACUUCUCUGUGCUUUGUUUCCUCUUGUAUAAAAUGGGGGCCAAAGCGGGCGCUCCCCAACAAGGUUGUUGCGAGAGCUGAGUAAGACAGCAUACAUCAAGGCAGCGCCCCUCGUAGGAGGAACUCAAGAUUGUUCUCUCCUUCUCUCUGCUGUCCUGAGGCAGGCUCAGGCCGGGUUAAGGAGAGGGAAGGCUUUGAAGGCUUUACCUAAAGAUCUGUCCAGCUCCUUCUGCCUUGCCCCCACCAGCCCUCAGCCCGCUGCCCAGUGCUGCUUGUCCCUUGGGGGCAGGAGAGGCAUUUGUGGUGCUUUUCAAUAUCCUCUCUUGGUCUCUUGGGCACCAAUCAGCCUUCUACCUGUUCCCUGGCUGCACGAAAUUCAGGAAGUUCAACAAACGCGGAGGGCUUGGACAUCCCCGUGCACUGUGCCAGAAUAAACAGGGCCUGGCGCAGGGCUGCA
RNAcentral lists this long non-coding RNA (1388 nucleotides) under Ursus maritimus (polar bear). RNAcentral describes it as "lncRNA (ENSUMAG00000013080.1)". Lineage: Eukaryota; Metazoa; Chordata; Mammalia; Carnivora; Ursidae. The record is from RNAcentral.